This 74-nucleotide transfer RNA is filed under the name uncultured Actinomycetes bacterium. RNAcentral's name for it is "uncultured actinobacterium tRNA-???(tacc)". It matches the Rfam family "tRNA". Rfam says of the family: Transfer RNA (tRNA) molecules are approximately 80 nucleotides in length. Their secondary structure includes four short double-helical elements and three loops (D, anti-codon, and T loops). Further hydrogen bonds mediate the characteristic L-shaped molecular structure. tRNAs have two regions of fundamental functional importance: the anti-codon, which is responsible for specific mRNA codon recognition, and the 3' end, to which the tRNAs corresponding amino acid is attached (by aminoacyl-tRNA synthetases). tRNAs cope with the degeneracy of the genetic code in two manners: having more than one tRNA (with a specific anti-codon) for a particular amino acid; and 'wobble' base-pairing, i.e. permitting non-standard base-pairing at the 3rd anti-codon position. The record is from RNAcentral. RNAcentral also lists the same sequence under 1 other name. Lineage: Bacteria; Bacillati; Actinomycetota; Actinomycetes.
GUUGUUGUGGUGUAAACGGCAGCAUGACUUUCUUACCAAUUAGUAGGUGCGGGUUCGAGCCCCGCCGGCAACUC